UAGGGAAUCUUGCACAAUGGGCGAAAGCCUGAUGCAGCGACGCCGCGUGGGGGAUGACGGCCUUCGGGUUGUAAACCCCUUUCAUGUGGGAAGAAAUAUGACUUUACCACAGGAAGAAGCACCGGCUAACUCAGUGCCAGCAGCUGCGGUAAUACUGAGGGUGCAAACGUUGUUCGGAAUCACUGGGCGUAAAGCGCGCGUAGGCGGUUCGGCAAAUCGGUUGUGAAAUCCUCCUGCCUAACGGGAGAAUUGCUGCCGAAAAUACCGGGCUAGAGGUUGUCAGGGGCAAGUGGAACUCUUGGUGGAGCGGUGGAAUGCGUAGAUAUCAAGAGGAACGCCGGAGGCGAAAGCGACUUGCUGGGGCAAUUCUGACGCUGAGGUGCGAAAGCUAGGGGAGCAAACAGG
Molecule: ribosomal RNA, 405 nt
Filed under: uncultured bacterium
Lineage: Bacteria
Description: bacterial SSU rRNA
Rfam family: Bacterial small subunit ribosomal RNA
Source: RNAcentral